UUUAUCUGGAACAAUGCAAGAAAUACCUUCAUUUAGGAGGUCUCAACAACUCAGAUACCACAGUGUUUCAGAAACCAACGACUCAUCGGGUAUUUCAUUAUUUCUCUGGUCAAGUACAUACAUGUGCAUCAUUCGGAGGUGCAGACAACUAAAUGUGUGAA
This is a long non-coding RNA of Haliotis rubra (blacklip abalone), 161 nucleotides long. RefSeq lists it as uncharacterized. NCBI's taxonomy places the organism in Eukaryota, Metazoa, Mollusca, Gastropoda, Lepetellida, Haliotidae. The record is from RefSeq and is a predicted model, not a curated record. The transcript is spliced from 2 exons.